RNAcentral lists this ribosomal RNA (3059 nucleotides) under Bacidia sp. Its description in RNAcentral is "large subunit ribosomal RNA". It matches the Rfam family "Bacterial large subunit ribosomal RNA". Lineage: Eukaryota; Fungi; Ascomycota; Lecanoromycetes; Lecanorales; Ramalinaceae. The record is from RNAcentral.
AACUCUAUUAAUAAAUUAAUAUUUGUGAACCAAGUGAAUUGAAAUAUCUUAGUAACUUCAGGAAAAAAAAUCAAAAGAGAUUUUUAAAGUAGUGUGAAUGAAAAAAAAAAUUGUCUAGAAGUAAAAUGGAAAAUUAAUCUGUUUGAAAAUUAGGGGAACCUUCCUCUAAGACUAAAUAUAACAUAUAAGCGAUAGAGAUAGUACCGUGAGGGGAAUUAUUGAAAUAGAAGUUUUAUAAGCAGCUCGAAGUUUUAUACAAGAGCGUACCUUUUGCAUAAUGGGUCAGCAAGUUAAUAUUUGAUGCGAGCAUAAAAGCGUAGGUAAAUCAAUUAAGAUUUAGUAAUAUAGUUUCAAAUAUUAGACCCGAAAGCUAGUGAUCUUACCAUGACCAGGAUUGUAAAAGUCCGAACGGGUUAUUGUUGCACAAAUAUCCGAGGAGUUGUGGUAAGUUAGUGAAAGACAAUACUGACUAGCAUAGCUGGUUUUCUGCGAAACCUAUUUAAGUAGGUAAUUUAAUUGUAAUAUUGGAAGGUACAGAAUUGUGAUCUCAUACAAUGUUUUUAUUGUUAAUAAUAAUAAUAAAAUUUUGUUUAUAUUGGGGGGUCGUAGAGACUUUAUCAGUGAGUUUUUGUUCUCGGAAGAGCCAAAUAUAUGUGUUAAAUAAUCGGACAUAGUGCGCCAAGGUUGUAUGUCAAAAGGGAAACAGCCCAGAACAAGAGUUAAUAAGGUUCCAAAAUUAUUUUUAAGUGAAAUUAAGAAAGUAUUUAUUUUAGACGAUCAGAAAAUAGGCUUAGAAGCGGCCACUUUUUGAAGAACUCGUAACAGAGCACUGGUUUAACAUUAUAAGACAUUAAUAUUUAAUUAAUGUUAAAAUAAUAGGUAAAGCAUUUAAGAUUUAGUGGAUCUAAAUAAUAUACCGAAACCUUGUCUACAUAUGUAGAUUUAUAUAUAUGUAAAUUGAGCACAUGUAGGGUAGCAGAACUUUGAGUAUGUUUGCCUAAAUUGUAAUUUAUGUAUGGCGUACGUAUUUUUUAUUAAUAAAAAUACGAAGUGAUAUCUCAAGUGAUAAUGCUGACAUGAGUAACGAUAAAGAGAAUUGUUUAAUAACUAAUAUUAUUACAAAUCUCUUCGCCUAAAGCUUAUGGUAUUUAUUAAAGUCACGGCCUCUAAGUUAUAUUAUGUUAAGCUAUAAUAUUUACAUUUCAAUGUGUAGCUUUUGUACAUAUUGUAUUAUACGUCUGUAUUAUAUAUCGUAUCAUACAUAUUGUAAUGUAAAUAUUAUAUUAAUCAAAAGAAAUAAACGAUGAGUAAAACUAUAGUGUACAGAAAGCAACGUAUCAAUGAAAAACUAGAUUUUAAUAAGUUGUAUCUAUACAGCGUCUAAAAUUUAGAGUAUUAUGUGAUGUGGUAUGUUCUGGAAAACUGUUAACUUGGCUGAUAAAGCAAUAAAUGUGUUUAUUUUCAGUUAAUAAUGUAUAUAUAAAUGUGUAGUGUUAAUAAAAAAAAUUAUAUGUUUAAACUAAAAAUACCGUACCUAGAUACUGAUCAAAAGUAAGCAAGUAGAAAAUACGAAGGCGUUCGAGUGAUUAAUCAUUAAGGAACUCGGCAAAUUGACUCCGUAACUUAGGGAUAAGGUGUGCCAUUGCUCUUUAUUAAUAUAAAGUCAGUAAUAGGACGCAUGGAAAAGUGUUGUACGACUGUUUAAUUAAAACAAAGCACUUUGCAAAGAAGUAAAUUCAAAGUAUUGAGUGUGAUAUCUGCCCGAUGGCGCACGGUUAUCGGAUUUUCUUAGUUUUUAACUAGGUUUUGAAGGAACCCUCGUUCAAUGGCGGCCUUAUCUAUGAGGGUCCUAAGGUAGCGGAAUACCUUGGCCGUUAAAUGCGGUCUUUGCAUGAAUGAUUUAACGAUACAACAGCUGUCUCUAUGAUUAGCUCGGUGAAAUUAUAAUAACUGUGCAGAUACAGUUUACCUCUAGUUAGACGAGAAGACCCUAUGCAGCUUUACCAUAACUAGUUAUUGAGUAUAAUAUAAAAAGUUGUAGUGUAUAAGGUAAUUGACAUAUGAAAUUGAAACACCUUUACUUUCCUUGUUAUACAAUAUUUAUUGUAGUAAAUUCUUAUUACAAUAACCUGAAAAACAAUUUAAAUGUAAAUUUAAAUUGAAAGGAACAAUUGCUAGGUGGUGGUUUAUGCGGGGCACAGAUCCCAUAAAAAGUAUCUGGGAAUAUCCAAAUUAAUGAUGAUUAUUUUACUUACUAAGUUUAACGGCUUAAUCUUGCUUUACUGUUUGACUGACAAGUCUUUCAGUCGCGUAAGCGGGGCAUAUGAUCACAAGACGCAUUAAGGAAGGGUCUUGUAUUAAUGAAAAAGUUACGCUAGGGAUAACAGGCUAAUUGCGCAAGAGAGUACAAAUUGAGUGCGCAGUUUGGCACCUCGAUGUCGGCUUAGCUCAUCCACAUGAAAGUAGAAGUUAUGAAGGGUUGGACUGUUCGUCCAUUAAAGAGCUACACGAGCUGGGUUAAAUACGUCGUGAGACAGUAUGGUUUCUAUCUUCUAGAGGAAAUUAGAAUAAAAUAAGAAUAGCCCCUUGUACGAAAGGAGUUGGGUAUGCUAACCUAUGGCUUACCUGUUGUUUAACUGCUUAUAUUAACAAAACUUUUAAUUAUUAUUUUAAUUAAUUGUUGUGAUCUAUAACUUAAUAAUUAAUCGCGCAAACCUUUUAAUUUUUUAAGUUGUACUGAGGUUUACUUUACAUCAGAGUUUUACCGUGUGUUGUAAUAAACUAAAAAGAUGAAUUGCACAUUCCUACGUUAGGCAUGGCAGGAACGCUACGUUAGUUAAAGAUAAGCGCUGAAAGCAUAUAAGUGCGAAACAUAUCUUAAGAUAUUCAUAAAUAUAUGUAGUAUAUUACUACAACUUUAAAAUUUUUAUUUUUAAUUUUUGUUUAAAGAUGUUAUGCAAUUUGUAUUACAGUUUAAACGAAGACAAUUUUAUUUAAUUUUAAUUAAUAGGCUUAAGUUGCAAUAACAUAUAUGUUUUUAGGCAUUAAGUACUAAUUUU